This is a long non-coding RNA of Mauremys mutica (yellowpond turtle), 403 nucleotides long. RefSeq lists it as uncharacterized. The transcript is spliced from 3 exons. The record is from RefSeq and is a predicted model, not a curated record. Lineage: Eukaryota; Metazoa; Chordata; Testudines; Geoemydidae.
GAAUCUCAUGACCAGUGAGUCCUGUGUUCCUGUAGAUGGUUUGUUGAAGAAAUAGGGUGGGAUUUGUUGCAUCAUCUGUGGGUUUGACUUUGAGUCCUUGUUGGAUUAUUAUUUUGUGUUUGCAGAUCCUUAAGAGGCUUCGAGAGGUGUAUUUUGUGAAAGAAGGAUAGAUGUGAGGCCCCAUCUGGUGGAAAAAGAGUUUUGUGUGAAGAUGGGGGUCCAGUUGGGCAAAGAACAAGUGAAGUAGAAGUAUGCCUGUGGGGGACAUGAAGUACUUAUUCCCAAAAUGCAAGUGGAUUUGAUGUCAAGUCUGCAAGUUAAGAAUCCAUUUCCAUCUCUGUGGUCGGAAAGUAUCAGCGUCUCCGGGGAAGACUUCGGUGUGCGUCGUUUGGAGCAAUCGGGC